This 61-nucleotide ribosomal RNA is filed under the name Planctomycetota bacterium. The record is from RNAcentral. Lineage: Bacteria; Pseudomonadati; Planctomycetota.
CCUGGUGACUAUACUGACGGGGAAACGCCUGAUCCCAUUCCGAACUCAGAAGCUAAGCCCG